This 465-nucleotide ribosomal RNA is filed under the name uncultured bacterium. Its description in RNAcentral is "bacterial SSU rRNA". It matches the Rfam family "Bacterial small subunit ribosomal RNA", at positions 356 to 834 of the family's 1533-position model. The record is from RNAcentral.
UGGGAAUCUUGGACAAUGGGGGCGAACCCUGAUCCAGCCAUGCCGCGUGAGUGAUGAAGGCCUUAGGGUCGUAAAGCUCUUUCGCCUGUGAAGAUAAUGACGGUAGCAGGUAAAGAAACCCCGGCUAACUCCGUGCCAGCAGCCGCGGUAAUACGGAGGGGGUUAGCGUUGUUCGGAAUUACUGGGCGUAAAGCGCACGUAGGCGGACCAGAAAGUUGGGGGUGAAAUCCCGGGGGCUCAACCCCGGAACUGCCUCCAAAACUAUUGGUCUAGAGUUCGAGAGAGGUGAGUGGAAUUCCAAGUGUAGAGGUGAAAUUCGUAGAUAUUUGGAGGAACACCAGUGGCGAAGGCGGCUCACUGGCUCGAUACUGACGCUGAGGUGCGAAAGUGUGGGGAGCAAAACAGGAUUAGAUACCCUGGUAGUCCACACCGUAAAACGAUGAAUGCCAGUCGUCGGGUAGCAUG